RNAcentral lists this ribosomal RNA (467 nucleotides) under uncultured bacterium. RNAcentral's name for it is "partial 16S ribosomal RNA". It matches the Rfam family "Bacterial small subunit ribosomal RNA", at positions 28 to 506 of the family's 1533-position model. The record is from RNAcentral.
GACGAACGCUGGCGGCGUGCUUAACACAUGCAAGUCGAACGGAAAGGCCCUGCUUUUGUGGGGUGCUCGAGUGGCGAACGGGUGAGUAACACGUGAGUAACCUGCCCUUGACUUUGGGAUAACUUCAGGAAACUGGGGCUAAUACCGGAUAGGAGCUCCUGCUGCAUGGUGGGGGUUGGAAAGUUUCGGCGGUUGGGGAUGGACUCGCGGCUUAUCAGCUUGUUGGUGGGGUAGUGGCUUACCAAGGUUUUGACGGGUAGCCGGCCUGGGAGGGUGACCGGCCACAUUGGGACUGAGGUACGGCCCAGACUCCUACGGGAGGCAGCAGUGGGGAAUAUUGCACAAUGGGCGGAAGCCUGAUGCAGCAACGCCGCGUGCGGGAAGACGGCCUUCGGGUGGUAAACCGCUUUCGCCUGUGACGAAGCGUGAGUGACGGUAAUGGGUAAAGAAGCACCGGCUAACUACGU